GGAAAACGACCAAAUAAACAUAUACUAGCUCUUAUAGUAGUCAAAGCAAGUUGGUUGUUUCCAUACAACUGAUCCUGAUCUAAUGGUUUAUGGGUCGAGCCAUAACUCACUAUUAAGAAAAAGAGUAAAAUGCAUGGAUGUCCAUUGUAAUUGCUAGCGUUUUUCAGUUUGGCCAUCAUAUUUUAAAAAGUGUAAACCACAGCCAUUAGACUCACCCGAGUGCGCCAAUACAAUCAUGAUUAGUUAUAUGUAUUUGAAUGAUUUAGCGUAUGUUUGACUAAUGACUCAUGGUCCCCCGUGUACAAAUUACAGAUGCCUUUCCAUUUAUAUUUUUUUCAUUUAUCCCCGUUUUCUCUCCUGAUUUUUUUCCAUCUACAAUCGUCCACUAUCCCCC
Molecule: long non-coding RNA, 394 nt
Filed under: Setaria viridis
Lineage: Eukaryota; Viridiplantae; Streptophyta; Magnoliopsida; Poales; Poaceae
Description: long non-coding RNA (SVIR_LNC004783)
Source: RNAcentral